UAGUGAGUUUGAUCCUGGCUCAGGGUGAACGCUGGCGGCGUGCUUAAGACAUGCAAGUCGAGCGCAGGAAGCUCACGGAACUCUUCGGAGGGAAGUGAAGGGAAUGAGCGGCGGACGGGUGAGUAACACGUAAGGAACCUGCCCCAAGGAUUGGGAUAACUCCGAGAAAUCGGAGCUAAUACCGAAUAGUUCUUCAGACCGCAUGGUCCGAGGAUGAAAGGCGCUUCGGCGUCACCUUGGGAUGGCCUUGCGGUGCAUUAGCUAGUUGGUGGGGGUAAUGGCCCACCAAGGCGACGAUGCAUAGCCGACCUGAGAGGGGUGAUCGGCCACACUGGGGACUGAGACACGGCCCAAACUCCUACGGGGAGCAGCAGUAGGGGAAUAUUGCGCAAUGGGGCGAAAGCCUGACGCAGCGACGCCGCGUGAGUGACGAAGGGCCUUCGGGUCGUAACCGCUGAAACGAGGACGAAAUCCCCGCAAGGGGGUCUGACGGUACUCGUGUAAUAGCACCGGCUAACUCCGUGCCAGCAGCCGCGGUAA
Molecule: ribosomal RNA, 540 nt
Filed under: uncultured Exiguobacterium sp.
Lineage: Bacteria; Bacillati; Bacillota; Bacilli; Caryophanales
Description: bacterial SSU rRNA
Rfam family: Bacterial small subunit ribosomal RNA
Source: RNAcentral